CCUCCCGGGCCCCGCGCAGGAAGCCAGACCGUCAGCCCCCUUUCUUCCUCUGCCCUAUUAAACCAAGAACUUUAGGAGCGGCAGGAGAGGCAGCAUGUGUCCUGUUUGCAGCGCUGAAAUGACACCAGGACGCCUGGGCACGGACGGAGGAGAGCAGAUGGUGCCCCGGUGCGCUGAAGGGCUGCACAAGGAUCACUGCUACUGUAAAGCUGCACGCAGGCAACAUCAAGAGAGAAUAGGAUUUGUGGCACCAACACUGAACCAAGACUAAGCUUCAGCCCUUUAUAUGGAACUGGUGAAAGAGGAAGCUGCAAUACUGAAAGCAGUCAGUCUUGACUGUGUGAGAGCAUGCCUCUCACAGAAGGCAAAUGAUGUCUUACUUCAAAAACAACUUCAUGAAACUCAAACUUGUUGAUUUACUGAUCUUAGAGCUGUUACACUUGAAUAACUCGGGAGCGGUAAAGUUAUGGUUCCUACUCACACCACUUUAAGGUUUAUAGUUUGAUUUACUUUAAAGACUACAGAAGUAAAAAGGAAAAAAGGCAAAAAUAUUCUUUUAGCAUAUAGGGGGUUUUUCCUCCUGCUAGCAGGAAGAGGUUUUUAGAUAAAUGGUGAACUAAAACUUAACAACUACAGGCCAGAACUUACAGAACAUUUUUUUUCACAGCUAGAAAAAGCCUCUGAAAACGUGAAGUUGCCAAUAAAAAGGAAUGCAACAGCAAAGUACAUAAUGCAGCAAUACUUGUAUGUUAUUGCAACAGCAAUAAUACGUGUCUAUCACAAAACUGCUUACAAAGGCAAACAGCAACCUCAUUUUAGGUAUGCUGUUCCAUGCACUGAGUAUGGAUAAUUUUACCUUCACCUCUGUCAGCAGAAGUAAGGUGUGCUUCAGGUUGUAAACUUGGAAAAGUUUCAUGAUUUAAGUAAUAGAUUGGACCUUUUGCUUUACAUUGUAUGUGUCUAGAUUAAGACAAAUGGCUGGUAACUUGUUCUGCUUUAAUUCCACAGUGCUUCACAGUUGUGUGCACGAUCUGCUAGGACGGUGAGACUACCACGUUUCCUUGGACAAGUAUCAGAACUUGAACUUGAACAAAGUGGGAUUAAGUUUUACUCAUUUUAGAAGAGCACUCCCAUCCAACAUACGGACAAAAUAGUUUGAAAAAGCACACUGCAUAAAUUGACAAUGAUUUUUAUUGUGUUUAGGAACAUUCAAUAAAUACCAAUCUUUUAGCUUCAGUUUGGAAAUCUUUCCCCAUCAAAAAUCAGUUAUUUGUGUUGUUUUUUUCUGGCAUAAAUUCCAUUGCCAGCAAUGGAUGUAUCAGAAAAAGAAGUUAAUAAAUACAAACAGACAGCUGUUUUCCAAACAUACCUCCUUUAAAGGCAUGAUACAGAUUUACUAAACAAAUCCCAAACAAGUUCUUCACAGAAGAAAAUUUUGCUAUAAGCUGUCUCUGAACAUUGUUUUCUUCACUAAUGCUGGUAGUUUAUUUCAUGGAGUAUGGUAUUUUUGACCAGUAAUGAUGAAUUGUUUAAAAACAAGUGUUUUCCCCCUCUUCCUUUGCCAAAUGUAUGCUGAGACAUAGCUAGUACUGAACUGUGUGAAUUUAAGAGUGGUGUGCCUCUUGUCAAGCACGUAUGGCAAACAUGAAGAAAUAGCAAUACGGUACUUUUUUUACUAGGGAUCUGGGGGAUUUAUUUUUUCAUCUUGAUUUUAAACCACUGUUCAAGUGUUAAAGAUAUAUUUAAG
Long non-coding RNA from Haemorhous mexicanus (house finch), 1747 nucleotides. RefSeq lists it as uncharacterized. The transcript is spliced from 2 exons. NCBI's taxonomy places the organism in Eukaryota, Metazoa, Chordata, Aves, Passeriformes, Fringillidae. The record is from RefSeq and is a predicted model, not a curated record.